GAUGAACGCUAGCUACAGGCUUAACACAUGCAAGUCGAGGGACCGGCGCACGGGUGAGUAACACGUAACCAACCUGCCCUUUACUCGGUGAUAGCCGUUCGAAAGAAAGAUUAAUACCCGAUAUAAAGGAUGGGGAUGCGUUCCAUUAGGUUGUUGGUGAGGUAACGGCCCACCAAGCCUUCGAUGGAUAGGGGUUCUGAGAGGAAGGUACCCCACAUUGGAACUGAGACACGGUCCAAACUCCGACGGGAGGCAGCAGUGGGGAAUAUUGGUCAAUGGGCGUUAGCCUGAACCAGCCAAGUAGCGGGAAGGAUGAAGGCUUAUGGGUCGUAAACUUCUUUUAUAUAAGAAUAUGUAUUAUAUGAAGAAGGACCGGCUAACUCCGUGCCAGCAGCCGCGGUAAUUC
Molecule: ribosomal RNA, 406 nt
Filed under: uncultured bacterium
Lineage: Bacteria
Description: partial 16S ribosomal RNA
Rfam family: Bacterial small subunit ribosomal RNA
Source: RNAcentral